RNAcentral lists this ribosomal RNA (625 nucleotides) under uncultured marine ciliate. RNAcentral's name for it is "SSU rRNA". It matches the Rfam family "Eukaryotic small subunit ribosomal RNA", at positions 326 to 966 of the family's 1831-position model. The record is from RNAcentral. Lineage: Eukaryota; Ciliophora.
UGGUAGUGUAUUGGACAACCAUGGCUUUCACGGGUAACGGAGGAUUAGGGUUCGAUUCCGGAGAGGGAGCCUGAGAAACGGCUACCACAUCUAAGGAAGGCAGCAGGCGCGUAAAUUACCCAAUCCUGACUCAGGGAGGUAGUGACAAGAAAUAACGGGUCGGGGCAUUUGCCUCGGGAUUGCAAUGAAUCGAAUUUACACCCCUUAAUGAGGAUCAAUUGGAGGGCAAGUCUGGUGCCAGCAGCCGCGGUAAUUCCAGCUCCAAUAGCGUAUAUUAAAGUUGUUGCAGUUAAAAAGCUCGUAGUUUGAUUUCUGGACGGGCGCUGACACCCGCUUGUUAGUGAGGAGGAGGCGCCCGCCCAUCCUUCUGUUAACGCCAUCGGCAUUCAUUUGCUGGCGGCGGGCUCAGAUAUUUUACCUUGAGGAAAUUAGAGUGUUUCAGGCAGGCUUGCGCCUAGAUACAUUAGCAUGGAAUAAUAGAAUAGGACUUUGGCCCCUUCUGUUGGUUUGAGGGACUGCAGUAAUGAUUAAUAGGGAUAGUUGGGGGCAUUAGUACUUAACUGUCAGAGGUGGAAUUCUCAGAUUUGUUAAAGACUGACUUAUGCGAAAGCAUUUGCCAAGGAUG